CUGGGUUGGAUGAAUGGCGAACGGGUGAGUAACACGUGAGUAACCUGCCCUCUUCUUUGGGAUAACGGUCGGAAACGGCUGCUAAUACCGGGUAUUCACUGUCCUUCGCAUGGGGGGUGGUGGAAAGGUUUUUUCUGGUGGGGGAUGGGCUCGCGGCCUAUCAGCUUGUUGGUGGGGUGAUGGCUUACCAAGGCUUUGACGGGUAACCGGCCUGAGAGGGUGACCGGUCACAUUGGGACUGAGAUACGGCCCAG
RNAcentral lists this ribosomal RNA (254 nucleotides) under uncultured bacterium. RNAcentral describes it as "partial 16S ribosomal RNA". It matches the Rfam family "Bacterial small subunit ribosomal RNA", at positions 82 to 334 of the family's 1533-position model. The record is from RNAcentral.